Non-coding RNA from Anas platyrhynchos (mallard), 845 nucleotides. The record is from the annotation of a RefSeq genome assembly. NCBI's taxonomy places the organism in Eukaryota, Metazoa, Chordata, Aves, Anseriformes, Anatidae.
AUUUCCUCCCCAGAGCUGUUUGACUCCUUCUCCACCUGGGGGGCUUUAAAACCUUCCUGCCCCUACUCCAGUUCCACGCUUCACCCAAGUAGGCAGCAUGCUGCUGCUGCUGCCCAUCCUUCUUGCAGCUUCUUGUUGGUCCCGUGGAGACGCACAGGUGGUGCCGGUGCAAAGCCCGGCGAUGCGGAGGCAGGUGAAGGGCAGCUCAGCCAGAAUGGAGUGCCGGCUGAGCAGUAAUACCAUCGUGCACUGGUACAAGCAGCUUCCUGGAGAGCCACCCAAGAGGAUACUGUACGUGUCGGGACAGAGUCCAACGUUUGAUGAUGGCUCUGAUGGCCGAAAGUAUCAAGUGUGGAAACAUGCCUCUCAACCUCUCUAUAGUCUCACAAUUGAUUUCUUAAACCAGAGGGACACUGGCACUUACUACUGUGCACGUUGGUAUUAUUAUCAAGGCAUCACAGCGUUAGAUGGGCCAAGAUAAACCAUACAAAAAGGCACUUGGCACUCCGAACCGCAAGCUAUGAGCUCUGCCCAAACACAGAUACUUCCUCAUUCAGCUCUGCUCUGAUGAUUUUCUGCCAUAGGAUAGGAAAAACAACAACGUAACAUGACAACUGCUAAAUAGAGGAUGUUAAUAAUCAGGAUAUUAUUUCCAAACUCACACAUCUCUGUAACAAGCAGAAGCUUCAGGGCCCUAUCAAAUGAACCACAGAAUCAUAGAAUAUCUCGAGCUGAAAGGGACCCAUAAAGAUCAUUGAGUCCAACUCCUGGCACCACACAAGUCUACCCAGAUUUUUAGACCAUGUGACUAAGUGCACAGACAAAUUGCUUCUUAAACUCCAACA